GUCAAAGCUCGGCGUCAUCUUCAUCAUCUUUAUCUUCAUGGCUUCAUCCUGUUGAUAGAAAUGGGCAUGGUUUGUGUAUCAAUGAGCACGAGACUUUUAUACAUGCUAACAGGAAUAUUUCCGAAAAAAUAAAAACAUCACUUUGUUGGGAGCUGAAGAAAUGUCGACCCACACACUCCACCCAGGACUCGUUCGAGAUGGGGUAACCAUAGUUACGGUUACAGCGAGGAGCACAAUGAGGAUUCAACCAAUUUUCAAGCUCUUCUCCUACCCUCAUGGGCUCAUCAGGAUAACCAGGCUUCUGUCUCUUACUGCGGAGAAGUUGUUUAGCGAAGCUUUCCUUCACCACAGGAUUAGCUUCUGUGUGAGAUGAGAAGGUUUCCGUGUCAGUUAACUGUGUGUAGACUGUAUGUUAACUGUGUGUAAACUGUGUGUAAACUGUGUGUAGACUGUGUGUAGACUGUGUGUUAACUGUGUGUAGACUGUGUGUUAACUGUGUGUAGACUGUGUGUAGACUGUGUGUUAACUGUGUGUAAACUGUGUGUUAACUGUGUGUUAACUGUGUGUAGACUGUGUGUUAACUGUGUGUAG
This is a long non-coding RNA of Hemibagrus wyckioides, 591 nucleotides long. RefSeq lists it as uncharacterized. The record is from RefSeq and is a predicted model, not a curated record. The transcript is spliced from 4 exons. NCBI's taxonomy places the organism in Eukaryota, Metazoa, Chordata, Actinopteri, Siluriformes, Bagridae.